RNAcentral lists this long non-coding RNA (1143 nucleotides) under Homo sapiens (human). RNAcentral's name for it is "HSALNT0075535". Lineage: Eukaryota; Metazoa; Chordata; Mammalia; Primates; Hominidae. The record is from RNAcentral.
UAGAGAGCAAAGCUGAGAAAUUUACUAGUUCUCUCUCCCGUCAAUCUGUUACAGACUGAAUUGUGCUCCACUUCCUACAUUUAUGGGUUGAAGCCCUAACUUCCAGUGUGACUGCUUGGAGACAGGGACUCUAAGGAGAGAGAAGGCAUGUGAGACACAGUGAGAAAGUGCCAUCUGCAAGCUGAGGAGAGAGGUCUCUCCAGAAACCAACCCUGCUUGCAUCCUGAUCUUGGAUUUCCAGCCUCCUGAACUGUGAGAAAAGAAAUUUCUAUUGUUUAAGCUACCCAAUCUGUGUUUGUGACAUGUUAUUACAGCAGCUGCUCAACAAAAGAAAACAUUCAUGUGGCCAACAAACAUGUGAAUAAAAGCUCAACAUCACUGAUCACUAGAGGAACGCAAAUCAAAACCACAAUGAGAUACUAUCUCACACUAGUCAGAAUGGAGAUUAUUAAAAAGUCAAGAAACAACAGAUGCUGGCGAGGUUGUGGAGAAAUAGGAACACUUUUACACUAUUGGUGGGAGUGUAAAUUAGUUCAAACAAUGUGGAAGACAGUAUGGCGAUUCCUCAAGGUUCUAGAACCAGAAAUACCAUUUGACCCAGCAAUCCCAUUACUUGGUAUAUACCCAAAGGAAUAUAAAUCAUUCUAUUACAAAGAUACAUGCACACAUAUGUUCAUUGCAGCACUAUUCACAAUAGCAAAGACAUGGAAUCAACCCUAAUGCCCAUCAAUAAUAGACUGGAUAAAGAAAAUGUGGCACAUAUAUACCAUGGAAUGCUAUGCAGCCAUAAAAGGGAACAAGAUCAUGUUCUUUGCAGGGAUGUAGAUGGAGCUGGAAGCCAUUAUCCUUAGCAAACUAAUGCAGGAACAGAAAACCAAACACUGCAUGUUCUCACUUAUAAGUGGGAGCUGAACAAUGAGAACACAUGGACACAUGGAGGGGAACAACACACACUGGGGCCUGUCAGAGGGUGGAAUAGGGGGAGCUAGAGCAUUGGAAAAACUAGCUAAUGCAUGCUGGGCUUAAUACUUAGGUGAUGGGUUGAUAGGUGCAGCAAACAACUAUGGCACACGUUUACCUAUGUAACAAACUUGCACAUCCUGAGCAUGUACCCCAGAACUUAAAAUAAAAACUAAAAUAAAA